RNAcentral lists this ribosomal RNA (433 nucleotides) under uncultured bacterium. Its description in RNAcentral is "partial 16S ribosomal RNA". It matches the Rfam family "Bacterial small subunit ribosomal RNA", at positions 29 to 507 of the family's 1533-position model. The record is from RNAcentral.
AACGAACGCUGGCGGCAUGCCUAACACAUGCAGGUCGAACGAGACCUUCGGGACUAGUGGCGCACGGGUGUGUAACGCGUGGGACCCUGCCCUUAGGUUCGGAAUAACUCCCCGACAGGGGUGCUAAUACCGGAUAAUGUCUUCGGACCCAAGAUUUAUCGCCGUUGGAUGGGCGCGCGUUGGAUUAGCUUGUUGGUAGGGUAAAAGCCUACCAAGGCGACGAUCCAUAGCUGGUCUGAGAGGAUGAUCAGCCACACUGGGACUGAGACACGGCCCAGACUCCUACGGGAGGCAGCAGUGGGGAAUAUUGGACUAUGGGCGAAAGCCUGAUCCAGCAAUGCCUCGUGAGUGAUGAAGGCCUUAGGGUUGUAAAGCUCUUUUACCCGGGAUGAUAAUGACAGUACCGAGAGAAUAAGCUCCGGCUAACUCCGUG